GCAAAGCAUCAGCAGCAGUAAGAGUGAAAAAAAAGAAAGAAGAGAGCUCGGAAGAACCAAGAAAGAAAAAGAGGAUUUCAUGCGUGCCUCCCCACGGGUUGAAUUAACUUGGUUUCGCGGCGCCCUGGGUCACAGGAGGACCAGCUGCGGCUGUUUAGCAGAAGAUGAUGAACUGAGCAGGAGGUUAAGAGGGAGGUCAAAUGAAUCUAUUCCAAAUGGUUAUGUUGCUUCACUUUAGAAGUCAGAGUCUUUAGUUUUGCAGAGCUGAAAGUUGCAACAAGAAGCUUCAGAUCUCAUACAAUUCUCGGCAAUGGUGAUAUUGGUAGUCUUGAAAGGCUGCCUUGAUGAGAAUGGGUCUUCCCAGAGCAAAAAAAUGACUCCAAUUGCCCAAUAUAUAUAUUGAACCUUGAGAGCGUGCAAGGAUUCAAAGAGUGGAAGUUGGAGGUGAACUACCUUGGCAGCUUAUCUCAUCCAGAGGAUUGUCAGGCUAAUGAGAUGUUGUUUGGAGGAUGAAGAACUACUCCUUGGCCAUGACUUCUUCCCAGAGGGUACCCUAAAGAGCCAUCUCUUUGGAA
Molecule: long non-coding RNA, 575 nt
Organism: Eucalyptus grandis
Lineage: Eukaryota; Viridiplantae; Streptophyta; Magnoliopsida; Myrtales; Myrtaceae
Exons: 3
Source: RefSeq, a predicted model, not a curated record